RNAcentral lists this ribosomal RNA (305 nucleotides) under uncultured bacterium. Its description in RNAcentral is "bacterial SSU rRNA". It matches the Rfam family "Bacterial small subunit ribosomal RNA", at positions 336 to 655 of the family's 1533-position model. The record is from RNAcentral.
UUCCUACGGGACGCAGCAGUGGGGAAUAUUGCACAAUGGGCGAAAGCCUGAUGCAGCAACGCCGCGUGAAGGAAGACGGUUUUCGGAUUGUAAACUUCUAUCAAUAGGGAAGAAAGAAAUGACGGUACCUAAAUAAGAAGCCCCGGCUAACUACGUGCCAGCAGCCGCGGUAAUACGUAGGGGGCAAGCGUUAUCCGGAUUUACUGGGUGUAAAGGGAGCGUAGACGGAAUUGCAAGUCUGAUGUGACAAUCCGUGUCCCAACCCCGGAACUGCAUUGGAAACUGUAUUUCUAGAGUGUCGGAGA